UCCCUGGUGGUCCAGAGGUUAGGAUUUGGCACUAUCACUGCCAGGGCCUGGGUUCAAUCCCUGGUCUGGGAA
Molecule: non-coding RNA, 72 nt
Organism: Balaenoptera musculus (blue whale)
Lineage: Eukaryota; Metazoa; Chordata; Mammalia; Artiodactyla; Balaenopteridae
Source: the annotation of a RefSeq genome assembly